CCAAAACACAGGCAACUGUACUCCAAAACACAGGUAACUGUCCUCCAAAUCACAGGUAACUAUACUCCAAAAGACAGGUAACUAUACUCCAAAACACAGGUAACUGUACUCCGAAACAGAGGUAACUAUACUCCAAAACACAGGUAACUAUACUCCAAAACACAUGUAACAAUGUUUCAAAACACAGGUAACUGUCCUCCCAAUCACAGGUAACUAUACUCCAAAACACAGGCAACUGUACUCCAAAACACAGGUAACUGUCCUCCCAAUCACAGGUAACAAUAUUUCAAAACACAGGUAUCUGUCCUCCAAAUCACAGGUAACUAUACUCUAAAACACAGGUAACAAUAUUUCAAAACACAGGUAACUGUCCUCCAAAUCACAGGUAACUAUACUCCAAAACACAGGUAACAAUAUUUCAAAACACAGGUAACUGUCCUCCCAAUCACAGGUAACAAUAUUUCAAAACACAGGUAUCUGUCCUCCAAAUCACAGGUAACUAUACUCUAAAACACAGGUAACAAUAUUUCAAAACACAGGUAACUGUCCUCCAAAUCACAGGUAACUAUACUCCAAAACACAGGUAACAAUAUUUCAAAACACAGGUAACUGUCCUCCAAAUCACAGGUAACCAUACUCCAACACAAAGGUAACAAUAUUUCAAAACACAGGCCACUGUACUCCAAAUCACAGGUAACUAUACUCUAAAACACAGGUAACAAUAUUUCAAAACACAGGUAACUGUCCUCCAAAUCACAGGUAACUAUACUCCAAAACACAGGUAACAAUAUUUCAAAACACAGGUAGCUGUACUCCAAACCACAGAUAACUAUACUCUAAAACACAGGUAACUAUAGUCUAAAACACAGGUAAUAAUAUUUCAAAACACAGGCCACUGUACUCCAAAUCACAGGUAACUAUACUCCAAAACACAGAUAACUGUACUCCAAAACAAAGGUAACAAAACUCCAAAACACAGGUAACUAUACUCCAAAACACAGGUAACAAUAUUUCAAAACACAGGUAACUGUCCUCCAAAUCACAGGUAACCAUACUCCAACACAAAGGUAACAAUAUUUCAAAACACAGGUAACUGUACUCCAAAUCACAGGCAACUGUACUCCAAAACACAGGUAACUGUACUCCAAAUCACAGGCAACUGUACUCCAAAACACAGGUAACUGUACUCCAAAACACAUGUAACAAUGUUUCAAAACACAGGCAACUGUACUCCAAAACACAGGUAACUAUACUCCAAAACACAUGUAACAAUGUUUCAAAACACAGCUAACUGUACUCCAAAACACAGGUAACAAUAUUUCAAAACACAGGCAACUGUCCUCCCAAUCACAGGUAACUAUACUCCAAAACACAGGCAACUGUACUCCAAAACACAUGUAACAAUGUUUCAAAACACAGGUAACUGUACUCCAAAUCACAGGUAACUAUACUCCAAAACACAGGUAACAAUAUUUCAAAACACAGGUAACUGUCCUCCAAAUCAGAGGUAACUGUACUCUAAAACACAGGUAACAAAACUCCAAAACACAGGUAACAAUAUUUUAAAACACAGGUAACUGUCCUCCAAAUCAGAGGUAACUGUACUCUAAAACACAGGUAACAAAACUCUAAAACACAGGUAACUAUACUUUAAAACACAGGUAACAAUAUUUCAAAACACAGGCCACUGUACUCCAAAUCACAGAUAACUAUACUCCAAAACACAGGUAACAAUAUUUCAAAACACAGGCCACUGUACUCCAAAUCACAGGUAACUAUACUCUAAAACACAGGUAACAAUAUUUCAAAACACAGGCCACUGUACUCCAAACCACAGAUAACUAUACUCUAAAACACAGGUAACAAUAUUUCAAAACACAGAUAAUUGUACUCCAAAACAAAGGUAACAAAACUCCAAAACACAGGUAACGAAACUCCAAAACACAGGUAGCUGUACUCCAAAUCACAGGUAACUAUACUCCAAAACACAGGUAACAAUAUUUCAAAACACAGGUAGCUGUACUCCAAAUCACAGGUAACUAUACUCCAAAACACAGAUAACUGUACUCCAAAACAAAGGUAACAAAACUCCAAAACACAGGUAACAAAACUCCAAAACACAGGUAACGAAACUCCAAAACACAGGCCACUGUACUCCAAAUCACAGGUAGCUAUACUCCAAAACACAGGUAACAAUAUUUCAAAACACAGGUAGCUGUACUCCAAACCACAGAUAACUAUACUCUAAAACACAGGUAACUAUACUCUAAAACACAGGUAACAAUAUUUCAAAACACAGGUAACCAUACUCCAAAACACAGAUAACUGUGCUCCAAAACACAGGUAACAAUACUCCAAAACAUAGAUACUUAUACUCCAAAACACAGUUAAUUAUACUCUGCAACACAAGUAACUAUACUCUAAAACACAGGUAAUUAUAUUCUAAAAGAAAAGUAUCAGUACUCCCAAACACAGGUAACUAUAAUCCAAAACACAGGCAACUAUACCCCAAAACAAAAGAAUCAAUACCCCAAAGACAGGUAACUAUACUCUAAAACAGAAAAUCAGUACUCCUCAACACAAGUGACUAUACUCCAAAACACAGGUAAUUAUAUUCUAAAAGAAAAGUAUCAGUACUCCCAAACACAGGUAACUAUAAUCCAAAACACAGGCAACUAUACCCCAAAACAAAAGAAUCAAUACCCCAAAGACAGGUAACUAUACUCUAAAACAGAAAAUCAGUACUCCUCAACACAAGUGACUAUACUCCAAAACACAGGUAAUUAUACUCUAAAACAAAAGUAUCAGUACUCCCAAACACAGGCAACUCUGCUCUUAAACACAAGUAAUUAUGCUCUGCAACACAAGUAACUAUACUCCAAAACAAAGGUAUCAGUGCCCCCAAAGAAAGGUAACUGUACUCUAAAACACAUGUAACUAUACUCCAAAACAAAAGUAUCAGUACUCCCAAACACAGGUAACUACACUCCCAAACACAGGUCAGUACACUUUUAAACAAAAGUAUCAGUACUCCGAAACACAGGUAACUAUACUCUAAAACAGAAGUAUCAGUACUCCGAAACACAGGUAACUAUACUCUAAAACAGAAGCAUCAGUACUCCCAACCACAGGUAACUAUAUUCCCAAACACAGGUCAGCACACUUUUAAACAAAAGUAUCAGUACUCCGAAACACAGGUAACUAUACUCUAAAACAAAAGUAUCAGUACUCCCAAACACAGGUAACUAUACUCUAAAACAGAAGUAUCAGUACUCUCAAACACAGGUAGCCAUUCGUCUUAAAGACAUAAAUGACUGUGAAUUUAAUUCAGUCAGUGUCAGUGGAGGGGGGUUUGGGUUUGGACAUUAAUGAGUGUAAAAUGUGCUGUUGAGCGACGGGCUGUAUCUC
Molecule: long non-coding RNA, 3408 nt
Organism: Epinephelus fuscoguttatus (brown-marbled grouper)
Lineage: Eukaryota; Metazoa; Chordata; Actinopteri; Perciformes; Serranidae
Exons: 3
Source: RefSeq, a predicted model, not a curated record